This 253-nucleotide ribosomal RNA is filed under the name uncultured bacterium. RNAcentral describes it as "partial 16S ribosomal RNA". It matches the Rfam family "Bacterial small subunit ribosomal RNA", at positions 524 to 776 of the family's 1533-position model. The record is from RNAcentral.
UACAGAGGGUACAAGCGUUGUUCGGAAUUAUUGGGCGUAAAGCGCGUGUAGGCGGCUUUGCAAGUCGGGUGUGAAAGCCCUCAGCUCAACUGAGGAGGUGCGCCCGAAACUGCAGAGCUUGAGUGCCGGAGAGGGUGGCGGAAUUCCCCAAGUAGAGGUGAAAUUCGUAGAUAUGGGGAGGAACACCGGUGGCGAAGGCGGCCACCUGGACGGCAACUGACGCUGAGACGCGAAAGCGUGGGGAGCAAACAGG